UUGACUGGCUCCCAUAGGAAACAUAUUGGGAAAUAUUCCAGGAAUGGCAGGAUGUGUCCCAGGAUUCUGACCUGCAGUAGCAGCAGCAGCAGCAGCUGGGCUGAUCAACAUUGCAGAUGGGGAAGGAGCCAUAUCAAAGCCACUAACCCUUUUACUCCUAGAACGUGAGCGGGAGUGUGAUUUUGAUCUGUUCUCAGAUCUACCCCUUGAAGGAGAUUGUGAUCGAUUCCUGUGUCUGUCUUCCCUGUCUCUAUCAUAAUCUAUAUGUCUGUCACUGACAUAGUUUCGGCUUCGAUAACGAUUAUUGUUAACCCUAUCUCUGCCCUGUUCCCUCUUCUCACCACGAUCUCUGUGGCGAUCACGACGCCCAUAGUGACUUUCACUAUCCUUGUUUCUUUCUCU
This 402-nucleotide unclassified non-coding RNA is filed under the name Hevea brasiliensis (rubber tree). Lineage: Eukaryota; Viridiplantae; Streptophyta; Magnoliopsida; Malpighiales; Euphorbiaceae. The record is from RNAcentral.